AAGCACCACACACACACGGACACACCACACCGCUGCUGAGCUUGCUCCCGCUCGCCACCGCACCGCCGCUCCUCGUCCGCGCCACCGCCUGCGCUCGCCGCCGCGGCCGGACCCCCUGCCCUCGCCACCGCCGCCCGCCAUGGCCGCCGGGUGAGCUUCCUCCUCAACACCGCCUGCGCUCUCGCCCCGGCAGGCCGACUGGGUGCCCCCGUGCCUCCGCUUCCGGAGGAGGAGGAGGAUGAGGAGGAGGGGGGAGGAGCAGUCCGCUCCACGUCCGCAUCGGAUUCAUCCGCCCGCGCUCUGCUCUGCCCCGACCCAUAUCCGUCCGCGCCGGUGCCUGUACCUCCUCCCUUCCCGGCUGCAUCUCGGCCAGCGCUUGGACCUCCUCCCCUUCCUCCUACUGCGACACCAUCGCCGGCAACCUGUUUGACCAAAUCCCAUGCCUUCCCUGUUUCAUUCAGUUGGUCUCUCUGGGUUAAUAAUAUUCAUGCCUUCAUUCGCAGAUUUGGAUGUUCAGAACUGGAGGAAUCCCAGCACUACCGUCUAAAUGAUUAGGCCCAUCACAAAUUGAGGCACGCGUUUAAACUACGUUUGCCACAAAUUUCUUGCUUUUUUCAUGGAUGGUCCAUACUGCAUACCUUUUGGAUGGUGGCCAAACUGGUCUGCACUCUGUCUUGCACAUAUAUAGCUCUUGAGAUAUUAUUAUUGACACGCUAGCCUGAAAUAGCGUGUCGAAACAACGCUUGUGCUGUCUGUGUUGUUUGGCUGGUGGUUAUGAUUUUGGCGUCGCAGCAAAGUCUAGUCAGUCAUACACUGCUUUGUUCAUGAGAAAAAUUGGUAGAGUUUGGCACAUCUAUGCUGUUCGACAUUAUAUCAUACUAUGACAGUGGCUGUGUAUCAAAGAUCUCUUCAAGUAAACCACUUUACGACAAAAUCAUAAUGAAUUAGUGUACUCUUUGUUUUUAUGGAACAUCAUAGGGAUCUUCUUGCAGUGCUAGUUGUCAGUUACUCUUUGUUUUUGUGGCUGUGUAUCAUACUCUUUGUUUUUGUGGCUGUGUUCCUGUCUUCCCCAAUUCCCAUAUGUAGCUCGGUCAUGCUUUGCAAAGUAGAUUUUACUGUUGUACAAGUACAGUAUAUGCUAUGAUGUCGACAUUAGCAGUUGGCAUGUUGAGUUAUGUGCGAAUUAAUCUUACUACAGAAAAAAAAAGAAAUAAACACAGUGCUCUGUUUCCUAAUUUACAUGUGUGCAGUUCCAUAAACUGAAGAUUAGCAGUUGACCCUUUUUUUAUCAAUGAAGCUGGACCAGCUUGUGCAGGGUGAAUGCAGUGCAGAGGAGUCAACAGGUCGAGAGGCAUCGUUUCAAUAGCUGCAGGGUGACUCUAUUGUGAGGUUUGCAAACAGUAGCUCAGCUUAGUUCUGAAUUGUGUGGAGUGUCUCCAUCAUUGCUAAGGUACACAUGCUAAACUAGGACUUAAAUAAGGAUGGUUUGCUGUUUCCCUACUUCAAGGUACUUUGUUGCCAUGUUGAAGGAUAGUGGAAAUAAGGCACCUAAAAUUUCUAAUAUUCAUCUGAAAUAAUAACUUUGGAUUAAUGUAGAGUAUAGUGAUUUCAAAUAACUUUUGUACAUAUAUCUAUGUAUGGUCUUAGCUUUAUGUUGACAUAUAUCUUAUUUUGGACCACUAGAUAUGCUAGAAAUAUGCAAUUCAAAGAGUUUUAGAAAUAUGCUAGAAAAAUUGUAAUCAUGGAUGCAAAUUUGUGUCUGUAAAUAUAUAUUUUUUAGCUCUUUUAUCUCUUUGCCGAGUGCCAUAGUUGUGGCACUCGGCAAACUUUUAUUCUUUGCCGAGUGCCAUGGUCUAGACACUCGGCAAACCUCCCUCCGUUACUGUUAAUUGCCGUCGCCCCUAACUUUUUUUUGCCGAGAGCCAACUCAGCACUUGGCAAAGGGUUUGCCGAGUGUCCGAUAAAAAGCACUCGGCAAACUCGGCUUUGCCGAGUCUUUGGUUGCCGUGUGGCGUUUGUUGUGGGCGGCACUCGGCAAACCCUUUGCCGAGUGCAAUUAUGGCUUUGCCGAGUACCGCAGGCACUCGGCAAAUACGCGAAAUCCAGUAGUAGUAAGUUCAGAUCGUCUGACGUUUAACGGUGCGACGUCACUACGCAUGAAGCGAUCCGGCCGCCCAACCAGGAUCCAACGAGGCAAUGGGGAUGGCUCGCACAACCAGCUCGCCCUCCUGCCGCGGGGCUCGCGAACGCGGCUAGCCGGCUACAGCUCUUGCGUGGCUCGGCUGGCGAGUCUGGCUCCUCCCGACGUUGGGCCUCGGCCUAAUAGGAGGAUCCGAGUCCUCACUUUUUACCGCGAAUAGGAGCUUUUGGCGGCACACCUCGUCUUUUUGGCACGAGAAAGACUGUGGGCAGCGGCGUACAUGGACGACAAGCCGUGCACGGCGACGGCGGCGAUCGGACUGGGCGGCCGCGAACAGACUGCUGGAAUUCAUCAAAGAAGCCUGGAGCAAGGUUAAAUCAGCAUAUUUAAGAUGGAAGAAAAUAGAGUGGGUGUGCUGUCUAGUUUGCUACCUGAAAUUGCCAUGGAGUUCAAUACAAUUGAUGAGGCUUGGAUGUUUUGGAUUCGCUAUGGAGGUCAAAAAGGGUUUGAAGUUGGAAAAAGGUAUAGAAACGAAAGAAAAUCUGAUGGGAAUGUUACGUCCUGCAGAUAUGUUUGUGCAAAUGAGGGUCAUAGAAAGGAAGAUAAAAGGGAUCAUGUAACAAAGUGCCCAAGAGCUGAAACUAGAACCGAUUGCCAAGUUCGCAUGGGUGUUGUACUAGAUCUAGAGAAGGGAAAAUAUAAUGUGGCUGAUCUAGUUUUGGAGCAUAAUCACAUCCUUCAGUUGCCAGAAACCUCACAGUGGUUUUUGGUGCUAUUCUCAUGUACGAUGAGACAUUUGAGUCCUUCAAGUGGUUAUUUGAGACCUUCCUAAAAGCACAUAAUGGCAAGCAACCUAAAACAAUCUAUACCGAUCAAGCUGUUGCAAUGGGAAAAGCAGUUAAGGAAGUGUUUUUAGAAGCAUGGCAUGGUUUGUGCACUUUUCAUAUUAUGCAGGAUGCUGUCAAACAUCUAGUUGAAGCCGAUGAUGAAGAAUCUUGUACUUCUCCAAAGCAAAAAACCGAAGACAACGAGAAAGAACCAAGUAUUCUUGUAGAUUUUAGUGCAUGUAUGUUUGAGUACGAAGAUGAGGAAACAUUUGAACAAGCAUUUGACACCAUAAGGGCAAAGGCAAGCAAGCUAAGUUGGUUGGAUAGUAUAUACAAGGUGAAAGAAAAAUGGGUUGAGUGUUACAUGAAGGAUGUGUUCACAUUAGGUAUGAGAAGUACACAAUUGAGUGAGAGUCUAAAUAGUGAAGUCAAGAGGCAUUUCAAAUCUGAUUUUGAUAUCAUUCGAUUUCUUAAGCAUUUUGAAAGGGUGGUGGAAGAUAAGCGGAAAAAAAAGAGCUAGAUGCUGAAUUUGAAUCAAGGAAGAAAAUACUCAGAAUCAAAAUGAGGACACCUACGCUAAUCCAAGCUAGCAAGCUUUACACGACAAUUAUAUUUGAAGCUUUUCAAGGUGAAUACGAAAGGUCCAUGGUAGCAUGCACCACGGCAUUGGACGGCAACAAUUGCUAUCUUGUGGCAAUUGGCAGUCUUGAAGAAAAUUUUACCUUUGAGAAGGAGUACAAAAUUUUUGGUGAUCCUUUAGAGCAAACUAGUACAUGCAGCUGUGGGCUAUUCAGUAGAACUGGAAUUUUGUGUGGCCAUGCUUUAAAAGUUCUUGAUAUGGUGAAUAUCAAAUCUCUCUCAUCACAAUAUAUACUGAAGCGAUGGACACGUGGAGCACGUAGUGAGACAGUACAAGACAACCAUGGACGAAAUAUAAUAGAGAACCCAAGAAUAAAUGAGAUGCUUCGGUACAAAGAUAUGACCCGCAAAUUUCUCAAUUUGGCACUUCGAGCAGCCAGCCGUCCAGAGUUUACCUUGUUAGUAAACAACACACUUGACAGCCUUAGCAAGCAAGUUGAAGAAGAAAUCAAUGCAUGUACUACUAGAACGGUUCCGGUCACUACUCCCAUAAAUGUUACUCCUCCAAAUGAUUUGGUGAGUACAGCAUGCCUAAAGAAGAAGGAUGUGCAAACAAAAAGCUCGAAGCGAAUGUUAAUGGUCGGUAAGUACAAAAUCUGACCGUCAACUAUACUCACAAAAGAAGGAAAACCAUACCUCUUACUCACAUAUUUGUAUCACUAACCUAGCUCCAUAGUUUUUUUUGGAAGAUUUAUGUUUUCAGGAGCACAAGUCCAGAAUGAGAAGAAAACGCGAAUAAUGCACAGAUGAAGUCGCAGAAGAUCGCAUCCUGCGUAACACAUGCAAAGAGAGGCCCACCUGACAGCCCAAACCGACCAAUCAAGCCCUGACACCGACCAUCUGACAUCAAGACCCACCAGGCAGUGUACCAAAGAAGGACAGUGGCCAGAGGCGGCAAAGUGGGGCCGGCCGACCCAUAGGUUCGGUCGAACCUGGACAAGCACCUGUCCAGGUGCAUUUUGGCGGGAAGGCUGAUCUUAUCCUCCUGAAGUCGGUUUGGCACGUUUCCAUGUAUAGAGAUUGCGGGAACCGACCUCAAGAGCUAUAAAAGGGGCCUCCCACCACUCUCACCACACACACCACUUGGAGAAGCCUCUCUCUCAUUCUCAUUGUGACUUGUACUUCUUAGGAUAGUGGAGCUAUGCUAGAACUUCAUUUUUUCAGCGAAUCCAGUCGUCUCGGGGUUGGCGAGCAAUCCUCGGCCUCUGGUAUGGCUUUGUAUUAUCGUUAUGCUUUUCAUACAGAGUUCGUUCAUAGUUAUCUUGCUAUGUUCUUAGCUUGCUUUGCCAUGAUCCGUUCUUCAUCAAGUUGUAUUAAUUGCUUGCUUAGACCAGAUGAUCUGGGUAAGGAUAUUGGUUCGUUGUGCUUUCGAGUUUGCCUUAGCGUCUUACCUGUCCAUCCGAAUGGUGGGGGACCCGGGGGUGCUAAGAUAGUGACCUCAUAUGCGGGCAUGGUGCCCGGGUAUGCGGGAUCCCUUGGAUAUGAUGGUGUUCCACGGUUUGACUGGGGUAGACCGCAUGUGGUGACAGUCAUGUCGGUCCACCAGGAAGCUGCUUCUCGGUUAACGUACUCUCCGACGUUCGGGUAUCGUGUAGGAGUUCAUGCAAAGAUGAAACGGGACUGGAUGUUCUCCAGUGCGGGUCAUUCUCCCUGAUGUCCCUAAUUUUCCGACACCUACAGCUCUAAGCAUGUGGCUAGCAUAACUUCUCUGCUAACAUGAAUAAUAUACUAGGAUUACGUUUGCCUAUGCUCCCGCUAACCUUAGAUGUAUUCGUUUAUUCUUUAUUCAUGAGAGUUGGUUGUUCUGUGUGUGUCACAUUACCCCUGAUUAUCCUUUAUUAUCACUUACCCCUAUAUAAUCAGCAGUCUGCACCUUAUCUCAUAAUGUUAUGGUUAUGUAACUAGUAAACAUUUUUACACAACCUCGCCAUCCCUUGGGAAAAUAUAAAUAACGAUACUAUGAAUACUUCCGGGUGAAAUGCUACAACGGUAUAUCCGUGCGCUUGCGGAUCCUUCUGUAAUCGUUAAGACAUACCGCACGGCGUUUCAUGACGUCGUUGCUAUGAACCUAACCCGUUCAUAGUGACGGUACUAUGGAAUGACCACCGGCAUUUCUGGCGCCGUUGCUGGGAAUUAACCCCUCCUAGUAGCGACGUUAAGAAAUGUCAACAGCGAACAAAAAGUUUUCUUGAUAAGAUGCACAAGUCCGGAAAGAAGGAAAGUAAGAAGGGAGGUAAGAAAAAGGAACGAAAUUGCUACAAAGGUAUGUGAUAACACAACAUAUAUUUGAUUCUCUUCCAUUGUGUUCAAUGGGAACAUGUUCAGUUACAUUUAUUUUAUUUGAAGGAACAACAAACUGUAAAGAAGGGAGGUAAGAGAAGCAGCAUGUGCAGAGACACCAACAAUACAAGACACUGCAGCAAUGAUAAAUAUUUGUCCUAGUACUUCUUUGCCCAUGGAAGAAAUGUCUGAACCAUACAUGGCCAUCUUCUCUCAAACAUUGACGGGGACAAUCACAGAUGAUGUUAUUGCUGAAUUUUAGUAGUGUGGACAUUUCCUGAAUGUCUUUAGAAGAAUAGAUUGUUUAGGAGAAUGGCUAUUUAGAGAACAACUUUUGGAGAAUACCUUUUGCAUAACAGCUUUUGGAGAAUUGCAUCUCUGAACAACAAAUCAUUUUAUCUGAACUAGCAACAAUCAUCAUUACUUUUUAUUCAACUCCAAAAAAAUUUACAACACCA
This is a long non-coding RNA of Panicum virgatum (switchgrass), 6344 nucleotides long. RefSeq lists it as uncharacterized. NCBI's taxonomy places the organism in Eukaryota, Viridiplantae, Streptophyta, Magnoliopsida, Poales, Poaceae. The record is from RefSeq and is a predicted model, not a curated record. The transcript has 5 exons.